Molecule: ribosomal RNA, 468 nt
Filed under: uncultured bacterium
Lineage: Bacteria
Description: partial 16S ribosomal RNA
Rfam family: Bacterial small subunit ribosomal RNA
Source: RNAcentral
GACGAACGCUGGCGGCGUGCUUAACACAUGCAAGUCGAACGGAAAGGCCCUGCUUUUGUGGGGUGCUCGAGUGGCGAACGGGUGAGUAACCCGUGAGUAACCUGCCCUUGACUUUGGGAUAACUUCAGGAAACUGGGGCUAAUACCGGAUAGGAGCUCCUGCUGCAUGGUGGGGGUUGGAAAGUUUCGGCGGUUGGGGAUGGACUCGCGGCUUAUCAGCUUGUUGGUGGGGUAGUGGCUUACCAAGGCUUUGACGGGUAGCCGGCCUGCGAGGGUGACCGGCCACAUUGGGACUGAGAUACGGCCCAGACUCCUACGGGAGGCAGCAGUGGGGAAUAUUGCACAAUGGGCGGAAGCCUGAUGCAGCAACGCCGCGUGCGGGAUGACGGCCUUCGGGUUGUAAACCGCUUUCGCCUGUGACGAAGCGUGAGUGACGGUAAUGGGUAAAGAAGCACCGGCUAACUACGUG